AUGUAGGAGAACAAUUUAAAGAUAGAAGACCUUUAAAUGUAAGAAGGAAAGAGAUUUUGUUUAGUUGAUAAAUGAAGAAAUGGAGGUAGUUUGGAAGGUUUAAUAUAUGUAGCUUUAUGGAGAGAGACUUUUAUAAUUCUUCAACUUUUAUUACACAAGGGAUCACUUUGGCACACACUUGGGCUCAGACUUUGCUUCACUCCUUUUGUACAUCAUACAAAUGAGGAGGUCUUCCCCUAUUUAUAGGCAUCAACCUCCAUGUUCUACGACAUUCUAGAAUAUUACAUAUAAGUAUCCUAAACAUUAUUCAUAUCUACCUAUUCUCAUAUGUUCUAGAAUAUUCCACUAUUCUAGAAUAUUCUCACAUUCUCUACUAUACAUAAAAGAGUUUCUAUCAUCUUCUAGAAUGUUCCAGAGAACUCCAUAAUGUUCUCGAACCUUCUAGAACAUUUUAGCUCAUUCUACACUAUGUUAGAAUAGUCUAGAAUAUUCUAGUAAUAUCUAGCUUUGGUUUAAUAUAUUGUUCACAUUGCCUCCCUUAAACCAAAGCCUCGUAGGUGGUCAUUCCUAAUAACUUUUUCNN
Molecule: long non-coding RNA, 583 nt
Filed under: Nicotiana benthamiana
Lineage: Eukaryota; Viridiplantae; Streptophyta; Magnoliopsida; Solanales; Solanaceae
Description: long non-coding RNA (NBEN_LNC014046)
Source: RNAcentral